CUGGCUUCUCUUCAGAUUCUAUAAUUUUUUUGCCUUUUACUAAAGAUUUCCCUGAGGAGGAACAAUUCUAAUCCAAUUUUUGAGGCCUUGUGAAUUUCUCUAAAAU
RNAcentral lists this small nuclear RNA (106 nucleotides) under Castor canadensis (American beaver). RNAcentral's name for it is "U5 spliceosomal RNA (ENSCCNG00000015451.1)". It matches the Rfam family "U5 spliceosomal RNA". Rfam says of the family: U5 RNA is a component of both types of known spliceosome. The precise function of this molecule is unknown, though it is known that the 5' loop is required for splice site selection and p220 binding, and that both the 3' stem-loop and the Sm site are important for Sm protein binding and cap methylation. The record is from RNAcentral. Lineage: Eukaryota; Metazoa; Chordata; Mammalia; Rodentia; Castoridae.